GAGCUACUCCCUCCGUCCGGAAAUACUUGUCCUAAAGAUGAAUGUAUCUAGACUUAUUUUAGUUAUAGAUACAUCCAUUAUAUCCAUUUUUAGGACAAGUAUUUCCGGACGGAGGGAGUACUUG
Molecule: microRNA precursor, 124 nt
Filed under: Hordeum vulgare
Lineage: Eukaryota; Viridiplantae; Streptophyta; Magnoliopsida; Poales; Poaceae
Description: microRNA MIR1122
Rfam family: MIR1120/MIR1122 microRNA precursor family
Source: RNAcentral